RNAcentral lists this transfer RNA (74 nucleotides) under Sphaerobolus stellatus SS14. Its description in RNAcentral is "tRNA-Asn (GTT) (tRNA-Asn-GTT-2-1)". It matches the Rfam family "tRNA". From Rfam's summary of the family: Transfer RNA (tRNA) molecules are approximately 80 nucleotides in length. Their secondary structure includes four short double-helical elements and three loops (D, anti-codon, and T loops). The record is from RNAcentral. Lineage: Eukaryota; Fungi; Basidiomycota; Agaricomycetes; Geastrales; Sphaerobolaceae.
UGCCCCAUGGCUUAGUUGGCUAUAGCGUCCGACUGUUAAUCGGAAGGUCGAGAGUUCAAGCCUCUCUGGGGCAG